UGAGUACGAGAUGCUACGGCAUCGAAGCAGUCUAUGUCAUACUUCCAAGAAAAGCUUGCACUGUCAUAAACAAAGAAUGCCUGUACCAUAACCGACACAGGUGGGUAGGUAGAGUAUACUAAGGGGCGCGAGAUAACUCUCUCUAAGGAACUCGGCAAAAUGACUCCGUAACUUCGGGAGAAGGAGUGCCUUAUUUAUAAGGUUGCAAUAACAAGAUCCAAGCAACUGUUUAUCAAAAACACAGGUCUCCGCUAAGUCGUAAGACGAUGUAUGGGGGCUGACGCCUGCCCAGUGCCAGAAGGUUAAAGAAGUUGGUUAGUGUAUGCGAAGCUGAUGACUGAAGCCCUGGUGAACGGCGGCCGUAACAAUAACGGUCCUAAGGUAGCGAAAUACCUUGUCGGGUAAGUUCCGACCCGCACGAAAGGCGUAAUGAUUUGGAUACUGUCUCGGAGAGAGGCUCGGUGAAAUAGACUUGUCUGUGAAGAUGCGGACUACCUGCACCAGGACAGAAAGACCCUAUGAAGCUUUACUGUAACUUGAAAUUGGAAUUGGACUUUGCUUGCGCAGUAUAGGUGGGAAGCGUUGAAAAUAUUCUUGCGGGAGUAUUGGAGCUAUCAGUGAGAUACCACUCUUGUAAUGUUAGAUUUCUAACUUUGAACCAUAAUCUGGUCAAAGAACAGUUUCAGGUGGGCAGUUUGACUGGGGCGGUCGCCUCCCAAAUGGUAACGGAGGCGUACAAAGGUUUCCUCUGAACGGAUAGAAAUCGUAUCUAGAGUGUAAAGGCAUAAGGAAGCUUGACUGUGAGACCUACAAGUCGAGCAGGGACGAAAGUCGGUCUUAGUGAUCUGACGGUACUGAGUGGAAAGGCCGUCACUCAACGGAUAAAAGUUACUCUAGGAUAACAGGCUGAUCUCCCCCAAGAGUUCACAUCGACGGGGAGGUUUGGCACCUCGAUGUCGGCUCAUCGCAUCCUGGGGCGGUAGUACGUCCCAAGGGUUGGGCUGUUCGCCCAUGAAAGCGGUACGCGAGCUGGGUUCAGAACGUCGUGAGACAGUUCGGUCCAUAUCCGGUGUAGGCGCUAGAAUAUUGAGAGGAGCCUUCUUUAGUACGAGAGGACCGAGAAGGACACACCGCUGGUGUACCAGUUAUCGUGCCAACGGUAAACGCUGGGUAGCUAUGUGUGGAGUGGAUAACCGCUGAAAGCAUCUAAGUGGGAAGCCCACCUCGAGAUGAGUAUUCUC
This 1241-nucleotide ribosomal RNA is filed under the name metagenome. RNAcentral describes it as "bacterial LSU rRNA". It matches the Rfam family "Bacterial large subunit ribosomal RNA", at positions 1564 to 2815 of the family's 2925-position model. The record is from RNAcentral.